UGGUCACAGAGAAGCAAAGAGUGUCCAAUAUGUUGGCAGCUUCUUGUCCUGAAGGAUCCUGCUUGCCAAGAACUUCUAGCUGCUGUUGAGACUGAGAGGUGUUUAAGGUCAAGAAACACAUCUUCUGCUGCAUCCACAAACCUAACCCAUUUUCAUGAAGAUUUUGAUAUAGAACAGGAUUCCUAUUCAGAUGACUCAGAUUUCGAUGAGCAUAUUAUGCAGCAUCUGGCAGCUGCUGCAAGCAGAGCUCAUUAUAUCCGCAGAAGGGAGAGGCAGAGAUCUUCUGGACAGGGUCCCUCGCAGUUUCUCAUCUUUAACUCGCCUACAAAUGUACCCAGUGCUCAGCAAACACACAGGUCUACUGAAGAAGGCCAAGAUGUAUAUAGUGGGUUUUCAGAGGGCAAUUCGCCAAUUCAUCUCAUGCCACCACAAGCUCUGCCAUCUGUGGUCCCUCCUGUUGUGAAUGUGGUCUCUAGUAAUGCUGUAAACAGAGACAUUCCUUCCAAACCCAGAGUUUUCAUUAGACCACCAUCAACUGAUGCUCCCCAAACAUCUUCUGAGGUGUCAUCUUUCUCAGAGUCCAUUAAAUCUAAAUGGGUUGCUGCUUCAGCCAGAUACAAGGAGUCGUUCUCUAAAAGUACUCGAGUUAUGAAGGAGAAGCUACUUGCACGUAAUAAUUCAGUUAAGGAGCUUAGCAAAGGAGUUCAGAGGGAGAUGAGUGCAGGUAUUGCCGGUGUCGUGCGAAUGAUUGAGCGGUUAGAUGUUACCUCAAAACGAACUGAAGCCACCAGUCAAGUUUCUGAUUUGAGGCCAGGAGCUUCAGACCUCUCUUUGAAGGGAAAGGGCAUGCAAGAAAACAUUAAUGCUCAGGCGAUUGACAAAAAAAGAGAGGAAAUUGCACAUGCUGCAAGCAUGGAUGUUUCUUCAACUGUCCCAGGUCAAUCGGAAGUUCCGCACGUACAGAGAGGUCAUUGAUCCUGUGGAGA
RNAcentral lists this unclassified non-coding RNA (986 nucleotides) under Hevea brasiliensis (rubber tree). Lineage: Eukaryota; Viridiplantae; Streptophyta; Magnoliopsida; Malpighiales; Euphorbiaceae. The record is from RNAcentral.